Molecule: transfer RNA, 72 nt
Filed under: Prolixibacteraceae bacterium
Lineage: Bacteria; Pseudomonadati; Bacteroidota; Bacteroidia; Marinilabiliales; Prolixibacteraceae
Description: tRNA-Met
Rfam family: tRNA
About the family: Transfer RNA (tRNA) molecules are approximately 80 nucleotides in length.
Source: RNAcentral
UGCGAGGUAGAGCAGUGGUAGCUCGUUGGGCUCAUAACCCAAAGGUCGCAGGUUCAAAUCCUGCCCUCGCCA